This 75-nucleotide transfer RNA is filed under the name Clavaria fumosa. RNAcentral describes it as "tRNA-Asp". It matches the Rfam family "tRNA". From Rfam's summary of the family: Transfer RNA (tRNA) molecules are approximately 80 nucleotides in length. The record is from RNAcentral. Lineage: Eukaryota; Fungi; Basidiomycota; Agaricomycetes; Agaricales; Clavariaceae.
UAAAUUUUAACUUUAAUAGAAUAAAGUACUUAAUUGUCAAUUAAUAAAAUACUAGUUCGAAUCUAGUAGAUCUCG